UACGGAGGGUGCAAGCGUUAUCCGGAUUCACUGGGCUUAAAGGGCGCGCAGGCGGAUUGGUAAGUCAGUGGUGAAAUACCUGAGCUUAACUCGGGAACUGCCAUUGAUACUACCGGUCUUGAAUAUUGUUGAGGUAUGCGGAAUGGGUCAUGUAGCGGUGAAAUGCAUAGAUAUGACCCGGAACACCAAUUGCGAAGGCAGCAUGCUAAACAAAGAUUGACGCUGAGGCUCGAAAGCGUGGGGAUCAAACAGG
RNAcentral lists this ribosomal RNA (253 nucleotides) under uncultured bacterium. RNAcentral's name for it is "partial 16S ribosomal RNA". It matches the Rfam family "Bacterial small subunit ribosomal RNA", at positions 524 to 776 of the family's 1533-position model. The record is from RNAcentral.